This 253-nucleotide ribosomal RNA is filed under the name uncultured bacterium. RNAcentral describes it as "partial 16S ribosomal RNA". It matches the Rfam family "Bacterial small subunit ribosomal RNA", at positions 524 to 776 of the family's 1533-position model. The record is from RNAcentral.
UACGGAGGGUGCGAGCGUUGUUCGGAAUUACUGGGCGUAAAGCGCGUGUAGGCGGCCUUCUAAGUCUGAUGUGAAAGCCCACGGCUCAACCGUGGAGGGUCAUUGGAAACUGGGGGACUUGAGUGCAGAAGAGGAAAGCGGAAUUCCACGUGUAGCGGUGAAAUGCGUAGAGAUGUGGAGGAACACCAGUGGCGAAGGCGGCUUUCUGGUCUGUAACUGACGCUGAGGCGCGAAAGCGUGGGGAGCAAACAGG